Molecule: long non-coding RNA, 8126 nt
Organism: Oncorhynchus masou masou (cherry salmon)
Lineage: Eukaryota; Metazoa; Chordata; Actinopteri; Salmoniformes; Salmonidae
Exons: 4
Source: RefSeq, a predicted model, not a curated record
GGUCUCUUUCAGCCACUUCACGAAACAGACCUGGGAACGCGCAUUGACGGGUUACGCCUCUUCUAAUGACAUUUUUUCGCUCUUUUUCUUUUCCUGGAAUAUAGAGGCGCGAGACAUCCUUAACACGCCACCUAUCUUCACGCGCAGGGAUAAUUGAGUAGUAUGUGCGCGCGUUGUUGUGGAGAGGGAGAACGUGAUCAAGUUGUUGUCUCCCAUGAGAUUGUAUUUGAUCAUUUGUAGGCUGUGCUUUGAGUCAAAUGUGAGAGGAAUUACCCACGCAUCAGAUUUCCAAUAGCGACUUCAUAAAAUAAACAAAACAGCAGUGUAUUGGAGUGAGAGAGAAGGUAUUUAUAAUGCGGUGACAACUACUCUCCAAACUGGCAUAUGAAAGGAGCGCCAAGGUACCUGAUUGGAGCGCACAGGUAGUUUACCUGCACGCAAAUGGCUGCCUUCCGGCAUGUAUUCAGAGGCACUACAGCGCAUACGUCUGCCUUUUUAUCUUGACUGAUCCACUCAUAGCCAACUGGAUUAGACUGGAGAUCAUACCAGACCAGGAGUAUGGGAACUGGGUGAAGAUGUUAUCAGAGGACCUGAGCCCUAGGACCAUGCCUCAGGGCUAUCUGGCCUGAUGACUCCUUGCUGUCCCCAGUCCACCUGGCCGUGCUGCUGCUCCAGUUUCAACUGUUCUGCCUGCGGCUAUGGAACCCUGACCUGUUCACCGGACGUGCUACCGGUCCCAGACCUGCUGUUUUCUACUCUCUAGAGACAGCAGGGGCGGUAGAGCUCCUCUUAAUGAUCUGCUAUGAAAAGCCAACUGAUAUUUACUCCUGAGGUGAUGACCUGUUGUUUCUGUACAGCAUUUUGAGAUAUCAGCUGAUGUAAAGAAGGGCUAUAUAAAUACAUUUGUUUUGAUUUGACCUGAAUUGCCCUAGAGGCACCAACUUCAUCAACUUUAAGGACUUUUGGAGAUCAUUCGACAUGAGGGGCGCAAUUGUUUUUAAGCAGAUUUAUCUAUUAUUUAUUUAUGAAAGAAUCUCCAGCCCCGAAUCCUUGUCUGUUGACUUAUACGUCUGAAGGUUAACAAUAAGAUUAGCUCAGAUGCUCCCAGCCACGGGGUCCUGUAUGGCUGCGCGCGAAAACAUCGCAGACACAGGUGGUGUCCUGUUCCCAAUCUCACUCAUCCUAAAACAGCUUUGCAGCUGCCAGCGAGGAAAAAAAAGAAAAGAAGGAGAAACAUCUGUUCGGAGAUUGCGUUUUUGUAAGACUGAUUAACGAGCAUAAGCCUCUGUUGCCAAUCCCCCACCUUGUCGGGCCAAGUAGUUUCCAAGCAUCGUCUGAUGCCUAAUGCAGGGCAGAAUUUACACAGAAAGAUAUAGAACAUCAUUUAGGAAUAAGAGACCUUUCAUAAAUCCCUAACACUCCAUCAAUAUGCCAAGAAAUUGGUGUUUUCUGAGGUGCACGUGUUUAAUUCAGUUGUAAAGAUCACUUUACCUCCAGUCUAGAUAACAAAAACAUGUAUUUGUUCUCUGUUGCCAGAGAAUAGCGCAAAUAAGGUUUCCCCAAAUAUAUGAUUUGUCUGUUUGUUUGUCUUUUUACAUUGACACCCAGCACUGUAUUGCCGUACCAAAUUUUACACUCUAAAAGCUAGCCCAAUCAAACAAAUAGUCCCAAUUAUUUACAUUUUAUAUGUUGGAGAAUGUGUUCAGAAAUUGCUAAACAGAAGAGAAAAAACAUAACAUAUGUAAACUCAUCCAAACGUCAACGUUAAUCAUUUUGUGUGUAAGUUUAAGCAGGGCAGAAGUGGAAGAAGUGGAAGAGGAGUGGAGAAGACGUAGCGCACACCCACAAACCUCUCUCCCACACCAGGGAUUAUUGGCCGUGGUCCGUUGCCAAGAUCAUGUUAGGUAAGUCUGCAGAAGGAAACAAACCGCAGGAAUAAAGGUGGGAGCUCUUGGGAACGUUGAGAGUUUUGAAGGCAGGAAGAGAAAGGAAGAGAGGAAGAUAUGAGAGUAGAGGGCGGGAAGAGGAAUGGAGGGGGCGAUAGCUGCUCUUUACAGGCCGGCUGUUUUCUUUCAGGUCCUCUUCGUAAAGAGACUAGCAGGUUCUUUCAUAGUGCAGAGUUGUUCAUUAUUUGACCCAGAGAGAGUUGCUGUAAUGCUCCAGGUCGCCUUGAGCGCAAAAAAACGGCUCCUCAGACAGGUAAUGCAUCAGAGGGAGCAGGAGGUCAUGUAAGAGGAUGGUUAGUUACAGUAUGACUAGAAUACGUUCCCACUGGAUAAAGGUGUUGAAUCAUUAAAAUAGUUCAAACUAGAGGGCGCUCUAGGUCUCUGCAUAUACACAAUGUCAUUAUAGUGUUCCUGUGUGGAUUGGGUUUUAGCGGCUAAAAUGUCACACUUUUAUGUCACAUGGAACCUGGCUCAUAACAUCUGCUAACAUCUGUUCCGAACUGCAGUGCCUCUGGGUGGAACAAAGGUAAAUAGAUUAUGGCUGCUGCAUCUGCACCAGUCACUGGAAUUGGCCUGUUUUCUAGCUAAUAGAUAACCGACUACAAACCCAUCAUUCACGGCUAUUGAUUCAAAGCAACCACAGGUAUUCUGCAUUACUUAAUCUACUCAUCCAUCACUGUGUAAUAUAUCUCUGUGUAAUGCUAUUCUGGUUUUGUUACAUAUUGCAAAUCUCAUUUACCUCUUGGGGAUGUCAUUCGAAAACAUCAUGUUAACUUUCACUGCGGAUGACACACACCUGUACAUUUCAAUGAAACAUGGUGAAGCCCCAACAUUGCCCUCGCUAGAAGCCUGUGUUUCAGACAUAAGGAAGUGGAUGGCUGCAAACUUUCAGCUUUUAAACUCCGACAAAACAGAGAUGCUUGUUCUAGGUCCCAAGAAACAAAGUGAUCUUCUGUUGAAUCUGACAAUUAAUCUUGAUGGUUGUACAGUCGUCUCAAAUAAAACUGUGAAGGACCUCGGCAUUACUCUGGACCCUGAUCUUUCUUUUGACAAACGUAUCAAGAUUCCAUCUACAUAACAUUGCAAAAAUCAGAAACCUUCUAUCCAAAAAUGAUGCAGAAAAAUUAAUCCAUGCUUUUUUUACAUCUAGGUUAGACUACUGCAAUGCUCUACUUUCCGGCUACACGGAUAAAGCACUAAAUAAACUUCAGUUAGUGCUAAAUAUGGCUGCUAGAAUCCUGACUAGAACCAAAAAAUUUGAUCAUAUUAUUCCAGUGCUAGCCUCCCUACACUGGCUUACUGUUAAGGCAAGGACUGAUUUCAAGGUUUUACUGCUAACCUACAAAGCAUUACAUGGGCUUGCUCCUACCUAUCUUUCCAAUUUGGUCCUGCCGUACAUACCUAUACGCUACGGUCACAAGAUUCAGGCCUCCUAAUUGUCCCUAGAAUUUCUAAGCAAACAGAUGGAGGCAGGGCUUUCUCCUAUAGAGCUCCAUUUUUAUGGAAUGGUCUACCUACCCAUGUGAGCGACGCAGACUCGUUCUCAACCUUCAAGUCUGUACUGAAGACUCAUCUCUUCAUUGGGUCAUAUAAUUGAGUGUAGUCUGGCCCAGGAGUGUGAAGGUGAACGGAAAGGCUCUGGAGCAAUGAACCGCCCUUGCUGUCUCUGCCUGGCCGGUUCCCCUCUCUCCACUGGGAUUCUCUGCCUCUAAGCCUUUUACAGGGGCUGAGUCACUGGCUUACUGGUGCUCUUUCAUGCCGUCCCUAGGAGGGGUGCUUCACUUGAGUGGAUUGAGUCACUGUCUUGAUCUUCCUGUCUGGGUUGGUGCUCCCCCUUGGGUUGUGCUUGGCGAAGAUCUUUGUGGGCUAUACUCGGCCUUGUCUCAGGAUGAUAAGUUGGUGGUUGAAGAUAUCCCUCUAUUGGUGUGGGCGCUGUGCUUUGGCAAAGUGGGUGGGGUUCCUGUUUGGCCCUGUCCGGGGGUAUCAUCGGAUGGGGCCACAGUGUCUCCUGACCCCUCCUGUCUCAGCCUCCAGUAUUUAUGCUGCAGUAGUUUAUGUUUUGAGGGGCUAGGGUCAGUUUGUUAUAUCUGGAGUACUUCUCCUGUCUUGUGUGAAUUUAAGUAUGCUCUCUCUAAUUCUCUCUUUCUCUCUUUUUUUCUCUCUCUCGGAGGACCUGAGCCCUAGGACCAUGCCUCAGGACUACCUGGCAUGAUGACUCCUUGCUGUCCCCAGUCCACCUUGCCGUGCUGCUGCUCCAUUCUCAACUAUGGAACCCUGACCUGAUCACCGGACGUGCUACCUGUCCCAGACCUGCUGUUUUCAACUCUCUAGAGACAGCAGGAGCGGUAGAGAUAUUCUUAAUGAUCGGCUAUGAAAAGCCAACUGACAUUACUCCUGAGGUGCUGACUUGCUGCACCCUCGACAACCACUGUGAUUAUUAUUAUUUGACCAUGCUGGUCAUUUAUGAACAUUUGAACAUCUUGGCCAUGUUCUGUUAUAAUCUCCACCCGGCACAGCCAGAAGAGGACUGGCCACCCCUCAUAGCCUGGUUCCUCUCUAGGUUUCUUCCUCGGUUUUGGCCUUUCUAGGGAGUUUUUCCUAGCCACCGUGCUUCUACACCUGCAUUGCUUGGUGUUUGGGGUUUUAGGCUGGGUUUAUGUACAGCACUUUGAGAUAUCAGCUGAUGUAAGAAGGGCUAUAGAAAUACAUGUGAUUUGAUUUGAUUUAUGCUAGAAUACAAAAUCCUAGAUGUUUAUUUAUUUAACCCUAUAAUCCAUAUAGAUUUGGUAUAGGUAUGCAUACCAGAGAUUCAUGUAUUGUAUUUCCUCUAUGUUUCUGAUGGUAAGGCUGUUCAAACUGUCCAAAAUGAUAUAAUCCCCCCCCAAGUAACAUAAGGACAAUCUACCAUUGCACACAUUUUUAUUAAUAUUUAUACCCAAAGAAACACUGAGAUCUUUCAUUCUUAAUGUAGAACAACUGCGUAGCCUGUCAUUCCUAAUUAUCAUGUCACCAUAGACAAAGGGUAAAUAUCUGCAGUUUAUCAACAUGCCUUUGAUUGAGGAUGACUUGGCAUAUUUCUACAUCACUCGUUUUCUUCCCAUUACAAUAGCUUAACCCCCCCCCCAAACAGAACAUUCCCUCUAAUGAUGUAAGUUAUUAGGCCCACAAGAGUACCUCAUUUCGAGAUUAUGAAGGUGCAGUCAACGGACGACUUCAGAAUCAUCCAACAAACGUGACAAGUGCUGUGGGUAAUUGUAUUUUGUGGGGCUGAGAAAAUGGCCCCAAUUGGAACAUGUAUAAAUUCUCCAAGUCACACUGUCAAAUGACUGUAUGUUUCUGUAAAAAGCCGAGUGAUGCCAGAAUUCUUUCCAUUACACAGUGAGAAUGAGAGUGUUCCGGAUGACAUCAUAGAGCUCCAUGUCUCUACUCUGUGCUAGCUAGGAGUGGCGAAUGUAACAGCUGGAUUUUAUGUCACUCAUACAGCCUCUGUAACAUCCCGUCAGGUACUCUUCCUUAUGAGGGUCUGCAUUCAACUCAACAUCCCAGGAUAUCUCGAAAAUGCUAAGAGAAAAAUCCGGCGUGUUUCCGAUUUUAAUGCCUACAUCAGAGCGGGUAACCAAACCAAGAUGUGUUCAAGCACAAUGUUGUUCCAUCCAAAAGAUGACUUCAGGUCUCAGGCCUGUGACUCACCAGAUACAAAAAUAAGUUGAUUUAUCAGAGUCACUUAAUCCCUUUGUUUACACAUUGUUUGUAAACAUAUGCUGAUGUUGUCUUUUUUUAAUUUUAACUUGAUUUAACUACACAAGCCAGUUAAGAACAAAUUCUUAUUUUCUAUGACAGCCUAGGAACGUUGGGUUAACUGCCUGUUCAGGAGCAGAAUGACAGAUUUGUACCUUGACAGCUUGGGGAUUUGAACUUGCAACCUUUUGGUUACUAGUCCAACACUCUAACCACUAGGCUACCCUGCCGCCCCUUUCAAAACAAACAUUUGUACUUCUGUGUCAAUUGCUCCAAGAAGACAGCAGACACGCCUUUAUUUUGAACAGUCCAUCUCGGAAUUAAUUUGACUUUAUACUGUAAAUCACAACAGUCAGUCUUUAAAGUCUUGCUGAGAAGGGACAACGCAGUAAUCAUCAAGCAUGAGAAGUGACAACACAGUAAUCAUCAAGCAUGAGAAGUGACAACGCAGUAAUCAUCAAGCAUGAGAAGUGACAACGCAGUAAUCAUCAAGCAUGAGAAGUGACAAUACAGUAAUCAUCAAGCAUGAGAAGUGACAACACAGUAAUCAUCAAGCAUGAGAAGUGACAACGCAGUAAUCAUCAAGCAUGAGAAGUGACAACGCAGUAAUCAUCAAGCAUGAGAAGUGACAAUACAGUAAUCAUCAAGCAUGAGAAGUGACAACACAGUAAUCAUCAAGCAUGAGAAGUGACAAUACAGUAAUCAUCAAGCAUGAGUAGUGACAAUACAGUAAUCAUCAAGCAUGAGAAGUGACAACGCAGUAAUCAUCAAGCAUGAGAAGUGACAACGCAGUAAUCAUCAAGAAUGAGAAGUGACAACGCAGUAAUCAUCAAGCAUGAGAAGUGACAAUACAGUAAUCAUCAAGCAUGAGAAGUGACAACGCAGUAAUCAUCAAGCAUGAGAAGUGACAAUACAGUAAUCAUCAAGCAUGAGAAGUGACAACGCAGUAAUCAUCAAGCAUGAGAAGUGACAACGCAGUAAUCAUCAAGCAUGAGAAGUGACAACGCAGUAAUCAUCAAGCAUGUUCAUUUCCAACCAAUCAAAUUGAGUUGAUUGGUUUCUCUAAGCCCCUAGACUUCUCAGAAACUACCACACCCCUCUCCUCUCUCUUUCUCUACUUAGCCAGUGGCUGUACUCUAGUCACAGUAAAGCAGGAAGAGAGGUUAAUUUUCCUGGUGAUGUCACUGGCCCCUAAGGCUCCUAGCUUCAGCGUGGGAGAUGAACGAGGGGAAUGUGUGAAGCUUUGGAGUGUGAUGAUAACAUGAAUCAGGCCCCCGAGCAAUGUCCUCACCACAUUCUGACAUUCAGAGCACCUAGAGGGUAGUUACUUCCUGUGUUCCUCCACAUGGAGGGAUGGGAAGGACCCAGACAGGAAACAGUCCAGAGAUUUUGACUGCUCUGAGAAAACAGGGAUGUUAGACUUUACUCUCUCUUCCCCAGGAAGAAGGGAUGUCAUUCCUCCUCUUUGUCCUCCUCACACCAUCACUUGGGUAUUAAUGGAUCACUAUUUCAGCUCAGGGUCAAUGUCUGUCAAGAGAAAUUCAACAUACGUUUGACUACUGUGUUCCCACCACCACAAUACAGUUUACUACUAUACAAAAAAUAAACAACCAUUAUGGAUCCAACACAUUUAGUCACUUAAUUGUGUUAUUGUAUGCCUUUGACUUUUAUCCUAUCACCUCCUGGGUUCACCCUAAAGUCUGUCACCUCCUGGGUUCACCCUAAAGUCUGUCACCUAAUGGGUUCACCCUAAAGUCUGUCACCUCCUGGGUUCACCCUAAAGUCUGUCACCUACUGGGUUCACCCUAAAGUCUGUCACCUACUGGGUUCACCCUAAAGUCUGUCACCUACUGGGUUCACCCUAAAGUCUGUCACCUCCUGGGUUCACCCUAAAGUCUGUCACCUACUGGGUGCACCCUAAACUCUAUCACCUACUGGGUUCACCAUAAAGUCUGUCACCUACUGGGUGCACCCUAAACUCUAUCACCUACUGGGUGCACCCUAAACUCUAUCACCUGCUGGGUGCUACUGGGUGCACCAUAAACACUAUCAUCUACUGGGUGCACCAUAAACUCUAUCACCUACUGGGUGCACCCUAAACUCUAUCACCUACUGGGUUCACCAUAAAGUCUGUCACCUACUGGGUGCACCCUAAACUCUAUCACCUACUGGGUGCACCCUAAACUCUAUCACCUACUGGGUGCACCCUAAAGUCUGUCACCUACUGUGUGCACCAUAAAGUCUGUCACCUACUGUGUGCACCCUAAACUCUAUCACCUACUGGGUGCACCCUAAACUCUAUCACCUACUGGGUGCACCCUGAAGUCUGUCACCUACUGUGUGCACCAUAAAGUCUGUCACCUACUGUGUGCACCCUAAACUCUAUCACCUACUGGGUGCACCCUAAACUCUAUCACCUACUGGGUGCACCCUGAAGUCUGU